This is a long non-coding RNA of Dreissena polymorpha, 547 nucleotides long. RefSeq lists it as uncharacterized. The record is from RefSeq and is a predicted model, not a curated record. The transcript has 4 exons. NCBI's taxonomy places the organism in Eukaryota, Metazoa, Mollusca, Bivalvia, Myida, Dreissenidae.
AGGCGGACACUUACCUUGGUCAGAAAGAAGGUGGGCGUGUCGGAAGAUAUUACGUCACCUUAAUCGAGGAAAGCAACAAUCGCGGAUUUGAGGAGAGAACAUAUUCCUAUAAAGAAGACACAAAAGGUAGCAGUCUAAAGACUUUUAAACAGUUCCACCUUCCUGGCACGAAUGAAGAACCGGACAAACAGUCCAUGCUUGAUCUAAUAGAGGCGAUAUUGACAUGGCAAAGGCAGCUCUCGACCGACACACCGAUAUUGAUUAAAGAUGGUUCGAACUUUCAUAGAAGCGGCCUAGUUGUGGUAUUGUUGAGCGAGAUAUGUCGCAUUGUAAAGCACGACGGACAAAUAAACCUUGUUGAAACAGUUGUAUCAAUGAAGCACAAAGAGAAACAUAUUAUCCAUUGCGCUGCUCAACUAAGGAUCUGUUACGACGUGAUUUUGGCACACGUUCAGAAACCAGGAAUCUAUCAAAAUUUCUAAAAGCACGGAAUAAACACGAUGUGAUUACAUACUUUUUGAUUAAAACGCUAAGAUAUUGCUUUCUG